This 2495-nucleotide long non-coding RNA is filed under the name Mytilus galloprovincialis (Mediterranean mussel). Lineage: Eukaryota; Metazoa; Mollusca; Bivalvia; Mytilida; Mytilidae. The record is from RNAcentral.
UUAGUUCUUUUACCUUUGAUUACAUUUGUCUGUCAUUAUUGAUGGUAUUUAUACCUCAAAUAAAGAUUUGUGUACAUAAUGUCUGCCUCUGACCAAGGACUUGUAUAGUGAGACUAUACAAAUCCUUACUCUGACUUAAUUUUUUUUCCAUUUUUUUCAUAGUAGAAAUAGUAAACAUGAUAUGAAACAUCACCAUUACCAGUAUGUUUGUAUUAGCGCUCUGAAGGAGAGUGGUAUACUAAUUUACCUCUAUGUCUAUCAAUCCAUUCAAAUUUCCGUCUUAUUUUCUCAGGAACUUCAAAUCAGAACUUUCCAUAUUUGGUAGCCAGCUUCAUGUAAGCAUGCUAAACUGUGAAAUACAUUUUCUAAUUCAAUGUAAAUUGCAUGUGAUAUUUCAUGUAAAAUUAAUUCUAAGGGAAAAUUUGUCUUCAUAUAUGAUACUGCCAAAAAAUAUAUGUAUAAGACUGAUUUUAUGAGUUGUUAAAGGAAUUCUAGUUUAGAUUGUAGAUAGCUCUCCUUGUUGAAACUUGUCGUCUAAAAUAUACUCAAAAGUUGAAUUUAAUCUAGUCGUUAAAGGGGGAUUCUAUGCACUCAUAAUAAGUUUGAAGAACUUUGUUCUUUUGAAGAUAAUUACAAAUAUAUGUACAUGUAAAUAGUGAAGUUAAUCCAAUCAAACACAUUGAAGAGUUUUUUAAUAAUUUUUAUAUUUUGAAAUAUGCCAUUUUCUUUGCCUUUUCACAGAAGGUAUCUUUUGUUAUGCAAUGUAUGUAGAAUGUUAUAUCUUUUUCAUUGCAUAUGGUUGUUGAAUUUUUGUUUAUUGGUUGAUAUUAAAAUGGUAUUUGUUGAUUUAACCAAUAAGUUGGUUUGUUGAUCCACUAUUGAAAAGAGGACAUAAUUCUGUCUCCGGUUGUUUGUCCUAGAAGAGGUUAAGAUAUACAUAAACAAGAUAACAGGAAUGAUUAAAAAUAUUGUUCAAUCACAACAACAAACAAGCAUCUAUACAAAUAAGGGUAGUCAAAUUUCUUUUUCAAGUGAUUCCAGGUAAAAAAUAAUUCAGAUUAAUUAAGGGUAGCCUAAUUUCUUUUUCAAGUGAUUCCAGGUAAAAAAAAAUGUAAAUGUGUUGUGGCGUUCAAGGUAUUUUGAUGUGAAAUACAUAUACAUUUGUAUAUAUAUGAACUUAUGGGUCAAAUUUAGAUCAAUACUUAGUUGAUGUUUUUUUUUCUGAAUUGCUUAGGGUAUAAAAUGGUUGUGUAUUAAAAUGCAGGAAGAUGUAAUGUUCUAGUGGGAAACACUGUUAUUUGCAAGUAUAUGUUUGUUUAUUUUUCAUUAAAGUGAUUUUAUCAUGAUUUUCCUUUAAUUUAAAACAAAUUUCACUUGUAUUGCAGAAUUAAAAUGUAUAUUACUGAUGACUUAUUGAUCUUAUAAACAAAAGAGUUGAGAUUUUUAAUCAAUAUGAUAACUCAUUCUUUAGAAGUAUUUUUCAGUUUACAUAUGUUUUUUUUUAUGUAUGAAAUGCAAUCUAUUGUCUGAUUUUUAUAUAAUACUGCUAACAAAUGAAUUAGGUUAAGUUUUUGAUUUUUUAUGGCCCCGCAACGAAGUUUUACUCUUGUCCAAAAUUCAGAAAUUCCGUCAUUCCGCAACAAACCAUUAUACAGAGUUUUUUUCUAAAACGCCUUCAGAUAUUGCGCUGAUUUUUGGUAUGUGAGUUAACCAUGAUGAGUUACAGGUCAAGUUAAAGUUAAGUUCUGCUCCGCUAAUUUUUGCUGAAAUUACGGGCUUUGGACUUUGAUAAAUGAUUGAAAAUAACAGUUAUACAGAUUCUUUUUCUAUAUGCCUCCAGAUUUUGAGCUGAUGUUUGAUAUGUGAGACUACCAUCAUGUUUUUGUCCACAUGUGUUUAUAUUGAAAUUGCAGAUUUUUCAACUUUUUGGGAUGUGGCCAUUUGUGUCGCUUUGACACAUCUAGUUUAAUGCCUGAUUUAUGAAAGGAAAGAAAUAAACCAGACAAUGUUUAUAAAUUUUUGUUGUUGAAUGAUUGCUGUAAAAUUUUAUACAUUUGUAUGUCUCAUAUGACAGGAAAAUUGUUAAAAGUCCCUGCACUGGAAAGAGAUUUAUUGGAUUAUUUGAUGUCACAAAUUUCUUUUGAAUAAAGUUGUUUUUCAAUAGUACAUUAAUUCUUUUUUUUGUAAACAACAAAGGACAGUGCCACUUUUACAUUUCACGUACUGUUACGUCUCAAACUAAAGCCAAGACCAUGGUGUUUGGUAAUAUUCUCAAAAUAAAAUAAAAGUCUUGCAUCUAUAUUUGUUGUCUCUGUGAAAGAAGGUGACAAAUUGCUUAAGUUGAAUUUCUUGUCUUUUUACUUGUUGUUUUGACUAAGACUUAUAAUAUUUGGUAUGCAAGUAAUGUGCUAUUGUAAAAGGCCUUGACCUUUGAAUUGAAGGUCAAAUACAGUGUAGAUGUAACUAAUGUUUUGGGAUAUUUUUGUAUCUGCCCA